RNAcentral lists this ribosomal RNA (509 nucleotides) under uncultured bacterium. RNAcentral describes it as "bacterial SSU rRNA". It matches the Rfam family "Bacterial small subunit ribosomal RNA", at positions 43 to 507 of the family's 1533-position model. The record is from RNAcentral.
CGUGCCUAAUACAUGCAAGUCGAACGCAUUGUGGUUGAAAUGAUAUGAAGAACUUGUUCAGAUUUGAUUUCAACAUUGCAAUGAGUGGCGAACGGGUGAGUAACACGUGGGAAACCUACCUCUUAGCAGGGGAUAACAUUUGGAAACAAAUGCUAAUACCGUAUAAUAAUUAAAACCGCAUGGUUUUAGUUUAAAAGAUGGUCUUGCUAUCACUCAGAGAUGGUCCCGCGGUGUAUUAGUUAGUUGGUGAGGUAAUGGCUCACCAAGACAAUGAUACAUAGCCGAGUUGAGAGACUGACCGGCCACAAUGGGACUGAGACACGGCCCAUACUCCUACGGGAGGCAGCAGUAGGGAAUCUUCCACAAUGGACGAAAGUCUGAUGGAGCAACGCCGCGUGUGUGAUGAAGGGUUUCGGCUCGUAAAACACUGUUGUAAGAGAAGAAUGACAUUGAGAGUAACUGUUCAAUGUGUGACGGUAUCUUACCAGAAAGGAACGGCUAAAUACGUG